Mizuhopecten yessoensis (Yesso scallop) is the source of this 1394-nucleotide long non-coding RNA. RefSeq lists it as uncharacterized. Lineage: Eukaryota; Metazoa; Mollusca; Bivalvia; Pectinida; Pectinidae. The transcript has 5 exons. The record is from RefSeq and is a predicted model, not a curated record.
AAUUUCUUCAAAAGAUCCUGUCUGACAUGGAGUGCUGAGAAGUGUGGGUGGUCAGUAUAAUUACUCACAAAUGUUAUCUAACUGCUGCCUGCCAAUUUUUGACCACUGGUCAGCAGAGGUGUGGAUGACAUCAAAUCUUGUCACUGCCAGUGUCAGUAUAGCUGACCACUUGCUCUGACCACUGGGCAUUAUGAGGGUAAGCUGACCAGCACAGCUGGAGCCCACUUGAAAUGUCUCCCCUGACAUGAUGUGCUGGUCACUAUACAGUGCCUUAGGUUUUGGUCGGAACUCUUCCUGAAUAGUUCUUGGUUGGAACUGGUAUGUGGGAUGCUCCAUGUCCUGUCAAAGUUUAAGAAAUCUGCACAUGAGAUUCAACCCAUGACCCUUCUGCUCACGAACCAAGUUCAAUACCCAGUGUGCCAGCAGCAUUGCUUAUCAUCCAUCAUGCAACUGUGUCCGGGGAGAUUUGAACCCUGACUUUCCUGCUCGCUAGCCCAGAGUCCACCGCCCAGCUAGCCCAGAGUCCACCGCCCAGCUAUGUGCGUGCUAUGUUGCUUGUCAUCCUUCGUGUCACCCGAGUUGAACACGGACUUGUCAGGACCAGCAUGGUAGUUGUUGGUACACAGGCUGGAUCAGACGACUGCCACAAUCCAUUGGCUAACAAUAGGGACCAAUUCUAUUGUCAUGAGUCAUCCUCCCAGGUUUAGUGACCUGAAAGUCUGGGGUCCCCUGUCUGUGAGACUGAAGCUCCUACACUUUUAACAGCUGACUGCUAUAUUGAACUUGGAGGGUAUUGACGGAAGCCCCCUACAUUGUUGGCGAGGUUUUGUCGGUGAUGAUACUUGGAUCACCAGUGCCGAGAGGAUCAUCACCCAGCUUCCAUUUGUUUCUGAGCCAACAUGGCUGAUGUACCAGGGGAAAUACAUUUAUGGAGAAAACCACAAUUAUUAAACAAAUGGCUCUCCCUGGCGACAGCAAUGUAGAAGUGCACUGUAAGGGGCGGUCACUGACACCUUGAUCACGGCUGCAGCAGCUGGACAUUUGACCAGCUGAGGUCCACAACCUACAGGUUAAAGGAGAUUUUCUUAUCCGGCAAAGACAAUAGUGUAUACAUCAACUCUGUUAAGAGGACUGGAAGGAAAACAGCAACUUUUUGGCUAUCACCCAAGUCUGGAUAUUAUCCCAGAAUUAACUGAAGCUUGUCACUGGAGGUGGCUUGACAUUGACAUAAAAGCCCAAUUACAGAUUUGUCCUCAAUUCCUGAAACUCUGUAACCUUGGCAACAGUCUGACAUCAGUAUGUUAUCAAAUAUAAUAUCUACAUUUCAUAGAUCAUGAUAUCCCAAAAGAGCUGUACUCAGAAAGUAAAGAAAAUAAAAUCGGUUUAUUUUUUAA